Clupea harengus (Atlantic herring) is the source of this 777-nucleotide long non-coding RNA. Lineage: Eukaryota; Metazoa; Chordata; Actinopteri; Clupeiformes; Clupeidae. The record is from Ensembl.
UCCUCCCCAUCACUUUAUCUCUCUCCCUCCCUCCUUCUCCCCAUCACUCUCUCUCCCUCCCUCCUUCUCCAGAUCACUUUCUCUCUCUCCCUCCCUUCUUCUCCCCAUCUCUCUCUCUCUCUCUCUCUCUCUCUCUCUGAAUCUCUAUCCCUCCCUGUGUUCUAUCCUUUCCUUCCCUCAGAUGUUCCUCUGGUUGCUGUAGUUGUUGUCUCUGUCAGUCUGUUGGCUGCUGCAUUGAUGAUAAUUGUGAUGAUAUGCAAGAAAAGGACAAAUGCUGGAGGAGAGCCAAGAGACAAAUCAAUGGAGGAAGGAGCUGACCUGCACUAUGCAGCCUUUCAGCACCUCAACCCAACCCAAGCUGGGCCUUCUGCAAAGCAGUCUGAGGACACCGUGACCUACAGCACCCUCAUGCAGUUAUCUGGUGGUCAAGACCAGAACAGCAGCAGACCUGCUGGCAGACCAGCGGACCCCAAUACUAUGUAUGCUACUGUUCAGAAGAAUAACAAGAUACAGAAUUAACAGUCGUAUGAAUACGCAUACACGUACACAAACACACACAGACACGCAAACACACAUACUUAAACACACACAAACAAACACACACAGACAUACACACACACAUGUAUGCAGUCAUAAAAGCACCCAGUGAGACUGUAUGCUUAUUCUACAGUUGCUUGUGGUUGCAUGUAGUUGUAUGAAAGCUCUCUCACAGCUCUUGCUCUGGUUAGCACUCCUGACCCUUUUAGACUGGGGGUGUGAAAUGUGUGCCUAUUUUUC